This 253-nucleotide ribosomal RNA is filed under the name uncultured bacterium. Its description in RNAcentral is "partial 16S ribosomal RNA". It matches the Rfam family "Bacterial small subunit ribosomal RNA", at positions 524 to 776 of the family's 1533-position model. The record is from RNAcentral.
UACGUAGGUGACCAGCGUUGUCCGGAUUUACUGGGCGUAAAGAGCGCGCAGGCGGUCGUUCAAGUCGAGUGUGAAAGCCCCCGGCUCAACUGGGGAGGGUCACUCGAUACUGAUCGACUGGAAGGCAGGAGAGGGAAGCGGAAUUCCCGGUGUAGUGGUGAAAUGCGUAGAUAUCGGGAGGAACACCAGAGGCGAAGGCGGCUCACUGGACAGUUACUGACACUCAACUACGAAAGCGUGGGGAGCAAACAGG